RNA transcript from Mercurialis annua (annual mercury), 9082 nucleotides. It is a transcript of the gene named glutenin, high molecular weight subunit PW212-like, with no coding region annotated. The transcript has 7 exons. The record is from RefSeq and is a predicted model, not a curated record. Lineage: Eukaryota; Viridiplantae; Streptophyta; Magnoliopsida; Malpighiales; Euphorbiaceae.
CCAACCUUUCUCCUACCCUUCUGCCUCCAAAUUAACCGGUUAACGCCGUCAAUUUCUACCGUCCAUUACAGCUUACAGAAGAAAAAAAAAUAUACACAAGGCUGUUACAGUUGAUGUUUAAUUUGGCUUGAGGCAAGACUCAUACUGCACCAUGGGUUUUGAUAAUGAUUGCAUUUUGAACAUACAAUCUCUUGCUGGAGAGUAUUUUUGCCCAGUUUGUCGAUUUUUAGUCUACCCAAAUGAAGCAUUGCAGUCACAGUGUACUCAUCUAUAUUGUAAGCCAUGUUUAACUUACGUUGUCAGCACUACCCGCGCCUGCCCUUAUGAUGGCUACUUGGUGACGGAAACAGAUUCCAAGCCCCUUAUUGAAUCAAACAAACCACUUGCUGAAACUAUUGGCAAGAUAACGGUGCAUUGUCUAUACCAUCGGAGUGGAUGCUCAUGGCAAGGUCCUUUAUCUGAGUGUACUACUCAUUGUUCUGAAUGCGCCUUUGGCAAUUCUCCUGUUGUAUGCAAUAGAUGCGGAGUCCAAACUAUGCAUCGUCAAGUUCAGGAGCAUGCACAAAAUUGUCCUGGUGUGCAACCUCUAGCUCAUGCUGAAGGCGCUCAAGAUGCUUCGGUCGCUACGGCAACUUCUGCUGGUAAUCAUAGCCAGCCUGCCACUCAGGCAGAAGCUACCACUAUUCAGGCUCAAGCUUCUGAAACUACUAAACUCUCAGUGCCUGGGCAGGACUGCAAUCAGCAAGCCAAUGCAACUACACAGUCACAGGCUGCACCGCAGGCUGCAGUUCCAACAGCAGAACAAUGGUAUCAACAGCAACAACAAUAUCAACAGUAUUAUCAGCAAUAUCCUGGAUACGACCCAUAUCAACAGCAAUAUCAACAACAUUAUCCUUAUCAACAGAAUGCAGUUCCCCAGUAUGCACAAGCUCAGGCUAAUCUGCAGUCACAACAGCAAGUUCAACCUCAUCCUCAGCUGCAAACACAAGCUCAAUCACAUCCACAAAUGCAGCUGCCUGCUGCUGCUCAACCUCAGAGCCAGCCCCAAACUCAAACAACGGCUCAGCCUCAGUUGCACACAAAUUUAGCACCCCAUGGCCAUCCACCUCCUCAAGCUCAGCUGCACCAGCAAACCCGUCCUGUCCAGCAUCAUACACAACAUGGACAGUAUCAGCAGCUGCAUUCCCAGGUUCAGGCACAGGUUGAUGCUCACUCUCAGCAUAAUACUUUGCAAUCCCAACUUCCUGCUCAAGGUCUUCCACAAACACAUGCGCAAAAUCCUACGCAACCUACUCAGCAACCCCUUCCCUCACAGCCAAGCCAGCCUUUGAAUCCUCAGCUCCAACCUCAGCCACAUCAUUCAUUUGACCAUGCAGUGACAGGACAUCACUUUUAUCCACAACCACAGCCUCAAAAUCAAAUGUCAAUGGGAGGGCUACACAAUGCCAUGCAUUAUCCUCAGGGUGGGCCUCAGCCACAGCUCCCUCAACAAUCUCCUUUAGUGCGUGCACCACAAUCUCAUGUUCCAAUUCAAAACCCUCAACAAUCCUCUUUUCUGCCUUCAUCUAGUCAGGUCCCUAAUGUUUCGCCGGCACAGCCACAGCCAGUGCAUGCUCAACAACCUGUCAUGGAGUCAGUUCAACAACCAAUUCAUCCGCAGUAUGUGCAGCAGCAGCAGCAGCCUUUUCCUGGACAAUCACAGGGCCCAGUUCAGAAUCAAGUGUCACAGCAAGGCGCUUAUGUACCACAGCUGCAUGGGCAGACUCAUUUACAUCCCCAGGGACCUCAUUCGUACCCGCAGCCGAUGCAGAAUGUUGCAUUGCAGCAUGGCAUACAACCCCAUCAAACACAAAAUCUUGGGGGAAGGCCUAUGCUUCCUCCUUAUGGUGGCCCGGCACAUACCCAUCCACACUCAUCUGUCGGUAUGCAGAUAAGGCCUAUGCAUGUUGAUGCAGACCAACAUUCGGGAAAUGCCCUUAGGACAAAUAAUCAACCGCAGUUUCCUUCUCAGCAACACUCUGGGCCUGCUUCAAGACAAAUAUGUGAGAGACAAGAUGAUCACAUGACUGAGAAAGGUUCAGGAGCUGUCUUACGCUCCCAGGAAAAUGUACGAAGGGAUCCAAAUAAAUGGGAUGUUGUAUCUGGUCAUGGGGUUGAUGCAGGUGAGAUGAGAACUGGAAAAUAUGAAAGCAAUUUGAAGUUAGAGGAUGAGGGCAAAAAAUCCAUAAAUGAUGCUAAGGAUGUAUCAAAAUCACUCAGUGGAGAAAAUAUGCUUACGAAUGUGAAGGAAGAGCCUAAAGAGGGCACUGAUGACCAGAAGGGCGCGUCUAAUACUGAAUAUGACCAUAAUGGAAAAGACAAAAGAAUGAAGGAUGGGACACUAAUUAAAUCGCGUGUACCUCCAGAAGGCGAACACCUUGAAGGCCAGGAUAUGGAAUCUCAGGGCAGAAACGCGACUCAAUAUUCUGGAGGCUUUCCUAUGCAUGGUCAGGUGCAAGGUGAGGGCCUGGUACAGCCAUCUCAUGGGCCUUCUGCUCUUCAACAAAGGUCUGUUGGUUCCUUAUUGUCCCCAGCACCUCCUCUUGGAUCCUUGCAUCAGAUGCAGUUGCCCGGACAUCCUUCUUCUGCACUUAGACCUUUGGGUCCGGGACAUAUGAUUCAUGGCCCUGAAGUAUUACCAGCUGGCAUUGCAAGCUUGGGUUCUACUCCAGCAAGUGGGAGAGGAGAGAGUCAUUAUGGUCCACAUGGUACAUAUAUUCAAAGUCACAGUCUACCUUCUCAAGGUGAAAUGUUCCCCAACCAGAGGCCCAGUUUAUCACAUGGAAGAAGACUAGAUUCAAUCAAACAACAACCUGGCAUGCACUCAAAUGCAGUGAGAAUGAAUGGGGCCCCUGGGAUGAAUUCCUCAUUAGCACAUGGAAUGCGUGAUGACAGGCGCAGAACUCUCUUGGACGAGCAUAUGAAUUCCUUUCCACUGGAUCCAACCCGGCGGAUUGUUGAUCGGAGAGAGUUCGAAGAUCACAAGCAUCUUUCUAGGCCCUCUGAUUUGGACGCUCAGUUUACUAAUAAAUUUGAGAGUAACUUCCCCUCAAGGCUCCUUGAUAGGGGACCUCUUGACAAGGGACUGUAUGGUUCAAAAUAUGAUUCUGGGAUGAAAUCAGAAGCCCUAGGUGGUCCAGCCCCUUCUAGAUUCUUUCCUCCUUAUCAUCAUGAUACUAUGAUGCAUCCCAAUGAUAUUGCAGAAAGACCAAUUGUUUUUCAUGACAAUGCUGUGGGCAGGCAGCCAGAUGCUGUGCGACCGCAUCCAGAGUUUUUUGGACCAAUUAGUGGAUAUGACCGCCGACAUAGGGACAAUAUGGGUUCUAGAAGCCCUGGUAGAGAUUACUAUGGAAUAUCAUCACAUGGAUUUGGUGUCGCUUCUAGGCCGGAUGAUUUUAAUGGCAGGGAGUCGCGCCGAUUGGGUGAUUCGUUUCUUGAUAACAGGUUUCCAGAUUUGCCCAGCCAUUUGCGCGUUGAUGAGUUUGGUCAAGAUGGAUUUUCUAAUGAUUUCAGAAGGGAACAUUUGGGUCAUCAUAAUCUGCGUAAUCGUUUGGGAGAGUCGAUUCGUUUUGGUGGUUUUCCUGGAGCCUCAGGGAUGGGGGAAUUAUUUAGGGCAGGGGAUUUCUUUCAUCCUCGACUUGGUGAGCCAGGAUUCAGAAGUCGCUUUUCCAGUAAGGGAUUCCAUGGAGAUGGUGGGAAUUAUACAGGGGAAUUGGAAUCUUUUAAUUAUUCGAGGAGGAGGAAAUCAUCUAGCAUGGGAUGGUGUCGAAUUUGUAAAGUAGAUUGUGAAACAGUUGAGGGCUUGGACCUACAUUCACAGACAAGGGCACAUCAAAAGAUGACAAUGGAUCUAGUUUUGACAAUCAAGCAGAAUGCUAAAAAACAGAAAUUAGCCACUAGCGAUAACUCUUCACUUGAUGAUACAAACAAGUCAAAGAAUGCUAGUAUUGAGGGCAGUGGGAAUAAGAAUUAAAUAGUGGCUGUGUUUUGCGUUGGUACCAGGCCCUUUGCAAACUCAGAGUUGGGUUUCUUGGUUUGGUCUUUUCCCACACUUGGAUACAUGGGGAUCGUUUUCUGCCUUUUCUUAUUGGGUGGUUUGCUAGGCUUUUCGUUUCUGGUUGCUGGGCUGUGGUGGAGAUUGUUUUCAGACCUGAAGUUCAAUGGCAAUUUUUUCAAUUCGACCUGUCUUUUAUGGCCGAAGCAGACUACAAAAAGAAUGAAAAGUCAGCGGAGAGGUCACUUCAAUCAUCUUUUUUAGAUGUGGUAAGAUUGCGUACAAUUUCCAGAUGUAAGUAAUGAAUUUUUGCUCAUUAGCACUGAUAUUCAAGAGUUUUUAUUUUCCAACAAUGUAAUAUUUUGAUUAGGCCACUGUUUUGAUGUUGACUUAUGUUUAAUACUUCAACUACAUGAGGAUGGUAGUUUGAUUUUGGGAAAUUUAAAAGGCUAAGAAGUCUUAGGCUUUACUUGGAAGCUUAUGAUAAGAGAUCAAUCUUUUGACUGUUUUACAUUGCUUUGUCAUGUUAGGGAGGAAAUUAUUGCUUUAUAUAUUAGGAAAGUAAUUAUUAUUGACUAAAUAUAUACAAUUGACUUUUGUAUGCCUGGUCUAAUAAUCUUCAGUUGGAUUUUUAAUCACAAAUUGAAAUGCUUAUUUCCUAUUUGUAAGUGUUGGAUUAGGUUUCUAGGAGUAGGUUGGAUCAAUGUUGUUUAAGGCGCAAGGCGCUCUCAAGGCGAGAUAGCCAUAUAUCGCCCGAGGCGAGAAGCGCUAAAAAAGCGCUCGCCUUAUCGAAGUAAGGCGCCAAUACCUAAAAAUAUUAAAUAUAUAUAUUUAUAUAUAUAUUUAAUAAAAAAUCAUAAAUCAUAAAUAUAAAACUCUUAAAUUUCUAAAUUUAAACCAUAAUCAUAAAGCUAAUAGAUCUAUAAUAGUAGUCCUAACCCUAAAUACUUAUCAUCCAAUACCAAAAUCAAAAUGAGUUUCAACUUUCAACAAAAGACGAUCUUACAACUAAUCAGAAUAAGGAAUUAAAGUCAAUCACUAAAAUAUCCAUCAACAUUUUCAUCAAAUUCAGCUCCACCACCACUCUCAUAUCCUUCAAUUUCAUCCACAUCUAAAUCAAUUUCAUUGUUGAUCAUAUGGAUUUCCAUCCUGGAUCAUAUGGAUUUCCAUCAUUUGCAAGUAGUUGUAUUUCCAUCCUGGAUCCUUCUUCUUUUCAGUGGGUGUUGAACCAUCAGUGCAUGGUUGAGGUUGGCUAUCCAUGGCGUGAGAAAAAAGAAUAAAAGGCUCUGCUCUUUUUUUUCUACUGAACGUAUAUUUUAAUUUGAAGUUAUUGUGUUUUACUUAAACCUAAACACUUAAAUAGAGACUUGAAUAGACUUUUAGACUUCCUAAAAGACUUUUAAAUUUCCUAAGUUAAAUCCAUUUAAAGCAUUAAUUAAGGCAUUAAUUAAGGCUAUCAAAUAGGAAUGUCUAGAUUAGAGUAAAAGUCACCUAAAAAACGUAAAAAAACAAAAAUUCAAUAAAGCGUGCUUUUUCCAUCUUCCAAGGCGAGCCAAGGCGAGCGCUUAAGCAAAUAAAGCGCUCGCCUUACUGAAGGCGCCUCGACUGGAAGGUCUGGAGGCGCCAUCAGUCUGUGGCGCCUCGCCUGAGCGCUUUAGGCGCUCAGGCGAGCGCUUUUAAUAACACUGGGUUGGAUUCUGUCAUAUCAUUAUUCUUAGAUUUUGAGGUUGAUUAUUGGACAAAUAAGUGAAUUAUUAUGAAUUUGGUCAAACUGAUGUACGCAAAAGAAAAAAAGAGUAGGGACUAUUUUGAUCGAAAUAAGAUAGUGUAGUGAUCCGGCGAGCUGUGCAGUUGUCGUUUCUUGAGAGUUGAGACUAACAAGAAAACCUUUAUUGGGAGUGCUUUUGAUCUCUCUCUUGUGUUAUCAUAUAUGUAUCCAUUCCUGUUCUGAUAGCAAAUUAUAUGAGGGAAUUAUUUAGAUGACUUCCUUGUAGUUUUAGGCUCAAAAUACAAUAAUAUAUCUCAGAUAAUCAACGCCAUAUUUAGUCUUUCAGAAACUGUAUAAUAAUUUAAUUUUUAGUUGGUUUAUGUUGAUGCUGCAUAAUCGUGAAUUUUGCAAUAUUUAAACCUUAAUAAGAGCUAAAAGAUUCUGAAGCGACAAUUGAUUAACAUGUUAUCAUAUAGAUGUAUGCUUUUGGUCAGACAUUUAAAAUGCGCAAGAGUGUAAAAUUUAAGAUGUUAGCUAAUGUAAAAUAUUUGCUAGAUGGGAAAGUUACAUCAAAACACUUCUGUCAAAAUUCCUGUAUGUGUAAUGAAACACUGCUAGCUUUUCUAUAUGUAAUUAUGUGCUACUAAUAAGAUUGUGUCAUUUAUAACUCAACUUUGGUUUCAAAUUUGAAAAGCUGGUUAGUGAUUUGUAAUCUUAUUUCUAAGUGACCGGUUGAUCUUUUAUUCGGAUGAUGCAUCCUUGACAGUUAUGGAAAUACCUUUUACAUGGUAGACUUUAAGUGUUAUAGAAAUCAAAUAAUAAACUCUAGUAAUAAAGACUUCUAAGUGUAUCGAGAUAUAUAAUAUUUAUGUCAUGAGGUAUCUUUGAAGUAUGACCUCUGGGAUGUGAUAAAAGAUUGAAUUGUUACUGAAACUCUUAAUGAGCUUUUAAGGAGGUGUUCUCGUAUAUAUACCAUUUUGAUGAUUAUUAUACAUAACAUAGGAUAAUAAUGAUCUAAAAAUUUCUCUAGGUUUAAAUAGAUAUGAUUACUGAUGGUCAAGAUAGCCGAUGGUAUUCUUUAUUAUUUUUCCUAAGUAGUACGAAGAGUUGCUAAAUUCUUUAACAUAGAGGAGAAUAAUGUUUCUUUCAUAGUGGUGAUAGCAUGAUUCUGGAAAACUACACAACAUGCCGAAAAUAUUUAUAAAACAUUCUCUGUUAAAGUUAUUAGGUUAUUACUUAAGUAGAAUAUGGUAGAUUUUGAUAUUUCUAUCUAAUUGAACUUUUCCAUUGUCAUUGUUUUGAGAAUUUCUUAUGCUUCAUAAGUUUCUUUUAUCACCUCUUUAUACUGGAAAAACGGGGGUUUUACUUGAAGUUACGGGCAGCGUUUUUCAGUGUUGGAUGCAAAUUCUGGAUUGGGAACAUGGUUGCUGGUUCUGUAUUUUCCAGGUUUGUUGUUUCUGUUUUUAACAUAUUUCUAAGUUGGGUUUGUUUAUUUAGUCAACUACUCAUAUCUGGCUACUUUUCUUCAUUUCUAGUUUCAAGGUCCCAUUGUUUAAAAUGUAUCAAUUAUCAUAUAUAAUACCCCAUCAUAAUAUCUCUUCGUAGUCUUACAAUUGAACUUGGUCAUAAAACUUCUUACUUGGAACAUUAAAAUCGCCGACUAAAAGUUAUAUUAAGAAUUGAAGAAAGAAAGAUUCUUAUAUUAAGAAUUGAAGAAAGAAAGUUAUAUUAAGAAUUGAAAUUUAGUAGCGUCGAAAUUUAGUGACAACUUCAGUGAUUGUUGGUGGACGUUAACUGCAAAUUGGAGCUGAAUGGUUUAGAACUAAGCAUGACUUGUAGAUUGAGGAUUUAGGGGGCAUGUGAUGACAAUGUAGGACCGGAAAAAAUAAUUGUAUUGUUGUCUGCAUGAAUUGAGGUAUCCAAAAUGCUUUCCUCAUGCGGUACAAGUGAAAGGUGACACCAUUAGUAGGAAGCAGCAAAAUAUAAAAUAUAUUUUCGAAUUACGUUGCUCGGAAUUUUUGGUAGUUAGGGUAUGUUUUGCAUCUCUUCUAAAAGUAGACCAUAUAUAGAGUUUUUAUGUGCGUAAUUAAUAGUAAUAUUAUAUGUUCUGAAUAUAAAUGCGUUUUUUCCUUAUUGUUGCAUCUUUACCUAGUUAGAAUGUUUUGAUUUUUCAUUGAUUUCAUUAAUAUGAAUAAAUGACUUGAAGAUAAUUGCUUGGACAAUUUGGCAUGAAUUUCUAUUUUCUUCAUUUCUUUUUGGGUAACUUUCUCAAUAGCAAAGAAUCAUUAAUCUCAGGCUAGCAACAUAGUAGGUAUUAUAAGAAGAAGAAUUUUAAGCUAAUGUUGUGUGCAUUUGAGGUUAGAAUCGGUUUAUCUUGGUAUAAUUAUGGCGAUUUAGCUAGCUACGCAAUAUUUUAAUUUAGUAAAUCUUAAGUUUCUUUAUUGGUCUAAUGCUCUUUUUAAUUAUAACAAUUUUUUUAAAAUUAUAUACUCUAUUUAUAUUGCGAGCUUAAAAGUAGAAAUGUGAAAAAUUUAGUCUUUUAUUUGCCAGUUUUGUACGUUUUGAAUACUCUUUAAAAUGAAAAGUUACCAACUCUCUUGGGCUUUUGAAAGCUAAUUUGCUAAUUUUGCUACCCAAGUAAAUUAGUGUUAUAAUCUUUUUUCAAGUAAUGCUCUUAAGGCAUGAAUUAAUAAAAUUUCCAGUUAUUUUGAACUAGCUUAAAUGAUUAUGUAUAUUCUUAAAUCAACGGCUGAGAUCAAUAUGUUGUAGGCUUGCUAAAGGACUAAACCUUUUAUUACUUGUCUAUUCUGAAAUAAUUAGCAUGAUUAAGUUGCUCAUAUAAACUAUGUAAAGCUUCAAUGAAAAUAAUAAAAAUCAAUAUUUUGAUGAAAGGAAUAUAAUUUUUCUAAAAAACCCACUUAAAAAUAGAUUUAGGAUAAAUAAAUGGAAAUGGAAAGAAACAUUUUGUUAGCUAUUUCUUGUAUUACUUUUCACAUUCAUGAAUUUAUUUGUUGGAACAUUUUCAUAGUAUGACAUUGAUAUUGAGCUAACAAUGCUUCAAGUUUUUGCAUGUUUCUUCUUGCAAGGAGCUUUCGUUGCAGGGUUGAAUCCGGUCGGGUUUGAGGUUUUACAACUGCGAAAUUGGUCGUGGGAGUUGCUAUCUAGCUGUGCAAAGACAUCUUUUCCACCGGCAUUGCACACUGGAUUCAAAUAUGAUAAUCCAAUGUUUUUAUAGAAGAUUAUGAGAAUAUAGAUACAGAUUUACUCAUAAGGUGUCAGUAAGCAAUUUAUUGAUUCACAAACCUAUUUUUAAUUUAUAAAGCAGAUAUCAUAUUAUGACA